This 468-nucleotide ribosomal RNA is filed under the name uncultured bacterium. RNAcentral's name for it is "partial 16S ribosomal RNA". It matches the Rfam family "Bacterial small subunit ribosomal RNA", at positions 28 to 507 of the family's 1533-position model. The record is from RNAcentral.
GACGAACGCUGGCGGCGUGCUUAACACAUGCAAGUCGAACGGAAAGGCCCUGCUUUUGUGGGGUGCUCGAGUGGCGAACGGGUGAGUAACACGUGAGUAACCUGCCCUUGACUUUGGGAUAACUUCAGGAAACUGGGGCUAAUACCGGAUAGGAGCUCCUGCUGCAUGGUGGGGGUUGGAAAGUUUCGGCGGUUGGGGAUGGACUCGCGGCUUAUCAGCUUGUUGGUGGGGUAGUGGCUUACCAAGGCUUUGACGGGUAGCCGGCCUGAGAGGGUGACCGGCGACAUUGGGACUGAGAUACGGCGCAGACUCCUACGGGAGGCAGCAGUGGGGAAUAUUGCACAAUGGGCGGAAGCCUGAUGCAGAAGCGCUGCGUGCGGGAUGACGGCCUUCGGGUUGUAAACCGCUUUCGCCUGUGACGAAGCGUGAGUGACGGUAAUGGGUAAAGAAGCACCGGCUAACUACGUG